RNAcentral lists this ribosomal RNA (426 nucleotides) under uncultured Sphingobacteriales bacterium. RNAcentral describes it as "bacterial SSU rRNA". It matches the Rfam family "Bacterial small subunit ribosomal RNA", at positions 954 to 1382 of the family's 1533-position model. The record is from RNAcentral. Lineage: Bacteria; Pseudomonadati; Bacteroidota; Sphingobacteriia; Sphingobacteriales.
AUGAUACGCGACGGAACUUACCUGGGCUCGAACGUAAGAUGACUGUAGGUGAAAGCUUACAUCUCUUCGGAGCAUUUACGAGGUGCUGCAUGGUUGUCGUCAGCUCGUGCCGUGAGGUGUCGGGUUAAGUCCCAUAACGAGCGCAACCCCUACCUUUAGUUGCCAUCAGGUAAUGCUGGGGACUCUAAAGGAACUGCCUACGCAAGUAGUGAGGAAGCGGGGAUGACGUCAAAUCAGCACGGCCCUUACGUCCAGGGCUACACACGUGCUACAAUGGCCGAUACAGAGGGCAGCUACCUGGUGACAGGAUGCAAAUCUCCAAAGUCGGUCUCAGUUCGGAUCGGAGUCUGCAACCCGACUCCGUGAAGUUGGAUUCGCUAGUAAUCGCGCAUCAGCCAUGGCGCGGUGAAUACGUUCCCGGGCCUU